AGAGUUUGAUCCUGGCUCAGAUUGAACGCUGGCGGCAGGCCUAACACAUGCAAGUCGAACGGUAGCACAGAGAGCUUGCUCUCGGGUGACGAGUGGCGGACGGGUGAGUAAUGUCUGGGAAACUGCCUGAUGGAGGGGGAUAACUACUGGAAACGGUAGCUAAUACCGCAUAAUGUCGCAAGACCAAAGAGGGGGACCUUCGGGCCUCUUGCCAUCAGAUGUGCCCAGAUGGGAUUAGCUAGUAGGUGGGGUAACGGCUCACCUAGGCGACGAUCCCUAGCUGGUCUGAGAGGAUGACCAGCCACACUGGAACUGAGACACGGUCCAGACUCCUACGGGAGGCAGCAGUGGGGAAUAUUGCACAAUGGGCGCAAGCCUGAUGCAGCCAUGCCGCGUGUAUGAAGAAGGCCUUCGGGUUGUAAAGUACUUUCAGCGGGGAGGAAGGUGUUGCGGUUAAUAACCGCAGCAAUUGACGUUACCCGCAGAAGAAGCACCGGCUAACUCCGUGCCAGCAGCCGCGGUAAUACGGAGGGUGCAAGCGUUAAUCGGAAUUACUGGGCGUAAAGCGCACGCAGGCGGUCUGUCAAGUCGGAUGUGAAAUCCCCGGGCUCAACCUGGGAACUGCAUUCGAAACUGGCAGGCUGGAGUCUUGUAGAGGGGGGUAGAAUUCCAGGUGUAGCGGUGAAAUGCGUAGAGAUCUGGAGGAAUACCGGUGGCGAAGGCGGCCCCCUGGACAAAGACCGACGCUCAGGUGCGAAAAGCGUGGGGAGCAAACAGGGAUUAGAUACCCUGGUAGUCCACGCCGUAAAACGAUGUCGAUUUGGAGGUUGUGCCCUUGAGGCGUGGCUUCCGGAGCUAACGCGUUAAAUCGACCGCCUGGGGAGUACGGCCGCAAGGUUAAAACUCAAAUGAAUUGACGGGGGCCCGCACAAGCGGUGGAGCAUGUGGUUUAAUUCGAUGCAACGCGAAGAACCUUACCUGGUCUUGACAUCCACAGAACUUUCCAGAGAUGGAUUGGUGCCUUCGGGAACUGUGAGACAGGUGCUGCAUGGCUGUCGUCAGCUCGUGUUGUGAAAUGUUGGGUUAAGUCCCGCAACGAGCGCAACCCUUAUCCUUUGUUGCCAGCGGUUAGGCCGGGAACUCAAAGGAGACUGCCAGUGAUAAACUGGAGGAAGGUGGGGAUGACGUCAAGUCAUCAUGGCCCUUACGACCAGGGCUACACACGUGCUACAAUGGCGCAUACAAAGAGAAGCGACCUCGCGAGAGCAAGCGGACCUCAUAAAGUGCGUCGUAGUCCGGAUUGGAGUCUGCAACUCGACUCCAUGAAGUCGGAAUCGCUAGUAAUCGUAGAUCAGAAUGCUACGGUGAAUACGUUCCCGGGCCUUGCACACACCGCCCGUC
This 1401-nucleotide ribosomal RNA is filed under the name uncultured bacterium. Its description in RNAcentral is "bacterial SSU rRNA". It matches the Rfam family "Bacterial small subunit ribosomal RNA". The record is from RNAcentral.